This 253-nucleotide ribosomal RNA is filed under the name uncultured bacterium. RNAcentral's name for it is "partial 16S ribosomal RNA". It matches the Rfam family "Bacterial small subunit ribosomal RNA", at positions 524 to 776 of the family's 1533-position model. The record is from RNAcentral.
UACGUAGGGGGCUAGCGUUGCUCGGAAUCACUGGGCGUAAAGCGCACGUAGGCGGAUUGUUAAGUCAGGGGUGAAAUCCUGGAGCUCAACUCCAGAACUGCCUUUGAUACUGGCAAUCUUGAGUCCGGGAGAGGUGAGUGGAACUCCGAGUGUAGAGGUGAAAUUCGUAGAUAUUCGGAAGAACACCAGUGGCGAAGGCGGCUCACUGGCCCGGUACUGACGCUGAGGUGCGAAAGCGUGGGGAGCAAACAGG